RNAcentral lists this ribosomal RNA (462 nucleotides) under uncultured bacterium. Its description in RNAcentral is "partial 16S ribosomal RNA". It matches the Rfam family "Bacterial small subunit ribosomal RNA", at positions 29 to 507 of the family's 1533-position model. The record is from RNAcentral.
AGUGAACGCUGGCGGCGUGCCUAAUACAUGCAAGUCGAACGGAGAUUAAGUAGCUUGCUAUUUAAUCUUAGUGGCGCACGGGUGAGUAAUAUAUAGCUAACUUGCCCAUUACUAAGGGACAACAGUUGGAAACGACUGCUAAUACCUUAUACUCCGUAUCUAUAUAAGUAGAUACGGGAAAGUUUUUCGGUAAUGGAUAGGGCUAUAUCGUAUCAGCUAGUUGGUAAGGUAAUGGCUUACCAAGGCUAUGACGCGUAACUGGUCUGAGAGGAUGAUCAGUCACACUGGAACUGAGACACGGUCCAGACUCCUACGGGAGGCAGCAGUAGGGAAUAUUGCUCAAUGGGGGAAACCCUGAAGCAGCAACGCCGCGUGGAGGAUGACACUUUUCGGGGCGUAAACUCCUUUUCUUGGGAAAGAAUUAUGACGGUACCCAAGGAAUAAGCACCGGCUAACUCCGUG